This is a long non-coding RNA of Gavialis gangeticus (Gharial), 111 nucleotides long. RefSeq lists it as uncharacterized. NCBI's taxonomy places the organism in Eukaryota, Metazoa, Chordata, Crocodylia, Gavialidae. The record is from RefSeq and is a predicted model, not a curated record. The transcript has 3 exons.
UGCCCCUGCUGCAGCCACGAUGCCUGCCAGCUGUGGAGGAGAUCAGUGCAGGGGGGUUCUGGGGCCCUGCACCUAUAACUGCUGACGGGCAAAACUCAUGUCAUUGUGCUU